UACGGGGGGUGCGAGCGUUGUCCGGAAUCACUGGGCGUAAAGGGCGCGUAGGUGGUCUGAUAAGGGUGUGGUGAAAGCCCGGGGCUCAACCCCGGGUCGGCCGUGCCGACUGUUAGACUAGAGUACUGUAGGGGCAGGCGGAAUUCCGGGUGUAGCGGUGGAAUGCGUAGAGAUCCGGAGGAAGACCGGUGGCGAAGGCGGGUCUCUGGGCAGUAACUGACGCUGAGGAGCGAAAGCGUGGGGAGCGAACAGG
This 253-nucleotide ribosomal RNA is filed under the name uncultured bacterium. RNAcentral describes it as "partial 16S ribosomal RNA". It matches the Rfam family "Bacterial small subunit ribosomal RNA", at positions 524 to 776 of the family's 1533-position model. The record is from RNAcentral.